AUUGCCUCAGUAACGGCGAGUGAAGCGGCAAAAGCUCAGAUUUGAAAUCUGGCGUCAUUUUGGCGUCCGAGUUGUAAUCUGUAGAGGAGUAUUCGAGUGUGGAUUUGGCUUAAGUUCCUUGGAACAGGACGUCAUAGAGGGUGAGAACCCCGUUAACGGCCUAUGUCUUAUGCUCAUGUGAAUCUCCUUCAACGAGUCGAGUUGUUUGGGAAUGCAGCUCUAAAUGGGUGGUAAAUUCCAUCUAAAGCUAAAUACUGGCAAGAGACCGAUAGCGCACAAGUAGAGUGAUCGAAAGAUGAAAAGAACUCUGAACAGAGAGUUAAAUAGUACGUGAAAUUGUUGAAAGGGAAGCACUUGCUACCAGACACGCCUGUAGUUGAUCAACCUUCAUUCUUGAUGGUGCACUCGGCUAUAGGUGGGUCAGCAUCAGUUACAACGGUGGGAUAAAGGCCUUGGGAAUGUAGCUUCCUUCGGGAAGUGUUAUAGCCCUUGGUGUAAUACCAUCUGAUGUGACUGAGACCCGCGCUU
Molecule: ribosomal RNA, 528 nt
Filed under: Peziza praetervisa
Lineage: Eukaryota; Fungi; Ascomycota; Pezizomycetes; Pezizales; Pezizaceae
Description: eukaryotic LSU rRNA
Rfam family: Eukaryotic large subunit ribosomal RNA
Source: RNAcentral